Vicia faba (fava bean) is the source of this 214-nucleotide non-coding RNA. Lineage: Eukaryota; Viridiplantae; Streptophyta; Magnoliopsida; Fabales; Fabaceae. The record is from the annotation of a GenBank genome assembly.
CCAAUGGUUUAGCUGGGGAGCUUCUCUGCUGACGUACCUCCUUCCUCCUGUUCGACGAUUAACUCUUCCAGGCCUUGCUUGCCUCGUGCGAGAAAAGAGGGAAAGUGCUAACAUGCUAACACCGGUAACGGGUGUUGCCGCAUCUGAGACCGGAAAAGCUGCUAUUUGUCCAAUUCUGCCUUCUCUCUUUCCUGUAUACUUAUUGUACUAUUGA